CAAGUCGAACGGCAGCGCGGGCUUCGGCCUGGCGGCGAGUGGCGAACGGGUGAGUAAUAUAUCGGAACGUGCCCAAGAGUGGGGGAUAACGUAGCGAAAGUUACGCUAAUACCGCAUACGAUCUACGGAUGAAAGCAGGGGACCUUCGGGCCUUGUGCUCCUGGAGCGGCCGAUAUCUGAUUAGCUAGUUGGUGAGGUAAAGGCUCACCAAGGCGACGAUCAGUAGCUGGUCUGAGAGGACGACCAGCCACACUGGAACUGAGACACGGUCCAGACUCCUACGGGAGGCAGCAGUGGGGAAUUUUGGACAAUGGGGGCAACCCUGACCCAGCAAUGCCGCGUGAGUGAAGAAGGCCUUCGGGUUGUAAAGCUCUUUUGUCAGGGAAGAAAAGGUCGUGGCUAAUAUCCACGGCUCAUGACGGUACCUGAAGAAUAAGCACCGGCUAACUACGUGCCAGCAGCCGCGGUAAUACGUAGGGUGCAAGCGUUAAUCGGAAUUACUGGGCGUAAAGCGUGCGCAGGCGGUUUUGUAAGUCUGUCGUGAAAUCCCCGGGCUUAACCUGGGAAUGGCGAUGGAGACUGCAAGGCUAGAAUCUGGCAGAGGGGGGUAGAAUUCCACGUGUAGCAGUGAAAUGCGUAGAGAUGUGGAGGAACACCGAUGGCGAAGGCAGCCCCCUGGGCUAAGAUUGACGCUCAUGCACGAAAGCGUGGGGAGCAAACAGGAUUAGAUACCCUGGUAGUCCACGCCCUAAACGAUGUCUACUAGUUGUUGGGUCUUAAUUGACUUAGUAACGCAGCUAACGCGUGAAGUAGACCGCCUGGGGAGUACGGUCGCAAGAUUAAAACUCAAAGGAAUUGACGGGGACCCGCACAAGCGGUGGAUGAUGUGGAUUAAUUCGAUGCAAC
Molecule: ribosomal RNA, 906 nt
Filed under: uncultured Massilia sp.
Lineage: Bacteria; Pseudomonadati; Pseudomonadota; Betaproteobacteria; Burkholderiales; Oxalobacteraceae
Description: bacterial SSU rRNA
Rfam family: Bacterial small subunit ribosomal RNA
Source: RNAcentral